AGGAUUAAUGCUGGCGGCGUGCCUAAUACAUGCAAGUCGAACGGGUUUAGACCCGUGGCGAACGGGUGAGUAACGUGUAGGAAGUUGCUCCGAAGUCGGGUAUAACCAGCCGAAAGGCUGAAUAACACCCGAUAUGCCGAAAGGUGAAAGUUUACGCUUCGGAAGACGCCUGCGUCCUAUCAGUUAGUUGGUGAGGUAACGGCUCACCAAGACGAUGACGGGUAGCUGGUCUGAGAGGAUGAUCAGCCACAGUGGGACUGAGACACGGCCCACACUCCUACGGGAGGCAGCAGUAGGGAAUUGUCGGCAAUGGGCGAAAGCCUGACCGCGCGACGCCGCGUGGAGGAAGAAGGCCUUCGGGUUGUAAACUUCUUUAUGGGGGACGAUUAUGACGGUACCUCAAGAAUAAGGGCCUGCUAACUACGUGCCAGCAGCCGC
This 438-nucleotide ribosomal RNA is filed under the name uncultured bacterium. Its description in RNAcentral is "SSU rRNA". It matches the Rfam family "Bacterial small subunit ribosomal RNA", at positions 26 to 518 of the family's 1533-position model. The record is from RNAcentral.